AGAGUUUGAUCCUGGCUCAGGACGAACGCUGGCGGCGUGCCUAACACAUGCAAGUCGAGCGAACCCCCUGGAUUCUAGAUUCGCUCUUGAAUCCAGUCAGGGUUAGCGGCGGACGGGUGAGUAACACGUGGAUAACCUACCCUAGAGACCGGGAUAACAGGCCGAAAGGCCUGCUAAUACCGGAUAAACUUCACAGUGCGCAUGUACAGUGAAGCAAAAGGGUUAAACCGCUCUGGGAUGGGUCCGCGUCCCAUUAGCUAGUAGGUGAGGUAACGGCUCACCUAGGCGACGAUGGGUAGCCGACCUUAGCGGGUGAUCGGCCACACUGGGACUGAGACACGGCCCAGACUCCUACGGGAGGCAGCAGUGGGGAAUCUUGCGCAAUGGGCGAAAGCCUGACGCAGCGACGCCGCGUGAGCGACGAAGGCCUUCGGGUCGUAAAGCUCUGUCGAGGGGGAAGAAUUCAGACGGUACCCCUCAAGCAAGCCCCGGCUAACUACGUGCCAGCAGCCGCGGUAACACGUAGGGGGCGAGCGUUGUCCGGAAUUACUGGGCGUAAAGGGCGCGCAGGCGGCCCUGCAAGUCAGAUGUGAAAUUCCGGGGCUCAACUCCGGACUUGCAUUUGAAACUG
RNAcentral lists this ribosomal RNA (631 nucleotides) under uncultured bacterium. RNAcentral's name for it is "bacterial SSU rRNA". It matches the Rfam family "Bacterial small subunit ribosomal RNA", at positions 8 to 635 of the family's 1533-position model. The record is from RNAcentral.